CUGGGACAAGCCCUGGAAACGGGGUCUAAUACCGGAUAACACUCUGUCCCGCAUGGGACGGGGUUAAAAGCUCCGGCGGUGAAGGAUGAGCCCGCGGCCUAUCAGCUUGUUGGUGGGGUAAUGGCCUACCAAGGCGACGACGGGUAGCCGGCCUGAGAGGGCGACCGGCCACACUGGGACUGAGACACGGCCCAGACUCCUACGGGAGGCAGCAGUGGGGAAUAUUGCACAAUGGGCGAAAGCCUGAUGCAGCGACGCCGCGUGAGGGAUGACGGCCUUCGGGUUGUAAACCUCUUUCAGCAGGGAAGAAGCGAAAGUGACGGUACCUGCAGAAGAAGCGCCGGCUAACUACGUGCCAGCAGCCGCGGUAAUACGUAGGGCGCAAGCGUUGUCCGGAAUUAUUGGGCGUAAAGAGCUCGUAGGCGGCUU
RNAcentral lists this ribosomal RNA (429 nucleotides) under Streptomyces griseus. RNAcentral's name for it is "bacterial SSU rRNA". It matches the Rfam family "Bacterial small subunit ribosomal RNA", at positions 138 to 581 of the family's 1533-position model. Lineage: Bacteria; Bacillati; Actinomycetota; Actinomycetes; Kitasatosporales; Streptomycetaceae. The record is from RNAcentral.